This is a non-coding RNA of Acanthosepion pharaonis, 98 nucleotides long. The record is from the annotation of a GenBank genome assembly. NCBI's taxonomy places the organism in Eukaryota, Metazoa, Mollusca, Cephalopoda, Sepiida, Sepiidae.
GUUGAAACACUGGUACCUGUACAAUCACCAAAGUUAAGCAAUGCCGAGCCUGAUCAGUACUUAGAUGGGUAACCGCCUGCGAAUACCAGGUGCUGUAA